Molecule: ribosomal RNA, 433 nt
Filed under: uncultured bacterium
Lineage: Bacteria
Description: partial 16S ribosomal RNA
Rfam family: Bacterial small subunit ribosomal RNA
Source: RNAcentral
AACGAACGCUGGCGGCAUGCCUAACACAUGCAAGUCGAACGAGACCUUCGGGUCUAGUGGCGCACGGGUGCGUAACGCGUGGGAACCUGCCCUUAGGUUCGGAAUAACUCCCCGAAAGGGGUGCUAAUACCGGAUCAUGUCUUCGGACCAAAGAUUUAUCGCCUUUGGAUGGGCCCGCGUUGGAUUAGCUAGUUGGUAGGGUAAAAGCCUACCAAGGCGACGAUCCAUAGCUGGUCUGAGAGGAUGAUCAGCCACACUUGGACUGAGACACGGCCCAGACUCCUACGGGAGGCAGCAGUGGGGAAUAUUGGACAAUGGGCGAAAGCCUGAUCCAGCAAUGCCGCGUGAGUGAUGAAGGCCUUAGGGUUGUAAAGCUCUUUUACCCGGGAUGAUAAUGACAGUACCGGGAGAAUAAGCUCCGGCUAACUCCGUG